CUUCAGUAAGGAAGCCCCCUUUCCUUAAGAGCUCCACCAACAACUAUCAUAACUAUUUUUAACUGACAAUAUAAUCUGGAAGAUAGCUGUUUGGUUAAUCUACUGGGACCGCAACGAGACAAAUUUAAAACGUGCCAAGGAAGUUCCCAUUUUCUUCAGUGAUUAUUUAUCCCCUCUGGGUCAACAGCUGGCUUUUUCUCGGUGUGCUACUAUUUUAAAGCUAAUCACUAAGACAGUCUCGUAAGAAAAAGGAGAAGAAUUAAUUUAUUUAAACAAAAUGUUUGUUAUAAGCGUAUUCGCAGUAACAACACUGAUAACUCUGUCAAAAUCUACACCCUUAUCAUACGUAACACAUCA
Long non-coding RNA from Microplitis demolitor, 357 nucleotides. RefSeq lists it as uncharacterized. The transcript has 3 exons. The record is from RefSeq and is a predicted model, not a curated record. Lineage: Eukaryota; Metazoa; Arthropoda; Insecta; Hymenoptera; Braconidae.